GGGCCGCGCAGUCUAGUCUGCCGAGCGACGCCGGCCGGCGCGCACCGCCUUAAAAGCCAACCGUACCCUAUACACGAAUCGUUCACCCAACAGCAAGACAAAGUUCGCGACAUCAGUGAAUACUAAGCAAUGGAAGUGUGACGUUACGUUUGUUUGUUCAGGACCUUAUGAAAGAUAAGGAGACGAUAAAAGCUUUUUAAACCCGGCCUUUUGUAAUGUCACAUAAUGUUCAUAUACCACACAAUCAAUGUGCCUCAACGUGUAUGUAACGGGCACAGAAUGUGACCAGAGGAUUAGUGAGUGACGUGAUGCAACUAGUAAUGUUGAACUUCUUAAUCAUGUUCGAUGUGGUGUUCAUAUUCUUUCUGUUUCUGAUCGCCGUGACGUGUGUAAUGAAUUAUAUGCCGGGGAGGAAGAGGCAGGAGGUGAUAGAGGAGGAGGUUGACGAUGAUGUCAUCCCCCCUCCACCACUGUUCGCUGGUGAUGAUGACGAACUACCGUUGACUAGUCGAGAUACAUAUGUUGUUAUUCCACCGCCCCUGGACAACGUUAGAGCUAAGGACGGCUGUCCUAUACACGUGGUGUAGUACAUAAGCACUGAUAUAUUAUAUCAACGUAGGAGUUUAUUAUGAAGAAGCCUUAUGAGAAAGUAGGUGUCGAAUGUAAAAGAAGUAGUUGUUUUUUACCAAUUAGUCAAAUAAAUUUUCUUGUUAUAUAAAGACUUUACUGGUGGGAAUUCGGGACUCAAGUGAAGGCACAUAUGGGCUUAAGGAAUUGGCUGUAUCACGUUUAUAGGCAUCACAAAAAUAUCAUAAUAUUAUAUUUGACAGAUUACGCAUUUUAUCGAGAAAAAAUAUAACUUUGAUAAAUGGUUAUAGUAUUAGGUAGAACAAAUAAUGAAAACAAUGUUAUAGACAAGUUUAUGAUGUUGAUUUUGUAAGUGUAGCAACCUAAUUAUAUUUUCCUUAAGUUUAUCUUUAACACCGAGCAUAUAUACUUAUCAUUUACGUAUGUCUCUGUUAGGUAAGCAAACACUAUGUUUAUGUAAAGUGUUCAAAUUUCGCAGAACAAUUGCAAGUGCUUGUUUAAGAUGAAUGUGACUGAAUAAUAGAUAUAAUAGAUAAAUUUUAGAGUAUAAUUAGUUGUACGUUUGCUUGCUACAUUGUAUUAAGUUUUGGUGCUUGUAAGCACAAAUAGAUGUAAGCAAACAUCUAAUUUAGCAACGUAUCUCACUCCAUUUAUACAGUAAACAUGGUGUGCUUCAAGGGAUUACUUACUUCGGUCUCAUUUGUAAGAUUUUUCGAAGAAAGUCUAGGUAAAUAUUCAUUAUAUGAUUAAACAUUUACUGGUUUAGCGAUUCUGGUAUUACAUUAAGAAAUAUCUUCCCAUAAUGGCUGAUACCUUUAUACGCCUAGUCCAAUAGAACAAGCAACUUAUUUUUAAAAUUUGUACUUUAAGUUGUUCGUGAUUUAACACAUUAGAAAAUAACGAGAUAAAUUAGCUGAUGGUUUACGAGAAUGCAGUUGUCGUUACAAUUGAAAUAGCAAAAUGUAUUAUACUGCUCAUAACUUAAAGUCAAAAUUUAAAUGAUAAAUUACUUGUCGGAAUAGUGCGGUUGGAAUGAAUAACGAUCUUUAAUUUGAGACUGAACUGCAACAUACGCACGAGUGAACUUUGCGUCAGUAACUAUAGUAUUUUGUCUCUCAAAAUUUAAAGAAAUAUUUAACCUCAUCGUGCGAAGUUUCUGAUAUAGUAUGCACUGUGGUUUACAGUGUACACACACGACCUAGAAUGACCUAUCUUAAUUUAUUUUCUUAAACCUACUUUAUAAGAUACAUAACAGCAUAUUAGAGCAUUGUAAUAAAAUUGUAGAAUUAACAUUAAUUUCAAUACCAAUAACUCAAAAUUCUUAAGACAGUUUCAUAUAAAGUAUAAAAUCCUGUGAGGGUAGCGUCCUCUUGUGUGAAGAGUUUCUAGAUUGGCAUCGGCUUACUAUUACAUCAAGUCUAUUAUUUUUAAUAUGAAUUUGAGAAAUUUAAUAUCUACAGUGUGAUGUUUCUUUAUAAUUAUUUAUUACCGCAAAAUUUGUAUGCAGGUGAAAUUGAAAUUAUUAUUAUUCUAUUACAUCCAUUAGUAAUCUACCAAUAAAACAAAAUAUGUUCCAUACAAAACACGUAUUAAAAACAACAAAAUUUUUUUAAUACCCAUACUAACUUGACAUAUAGACGCACUAUUAAUAUAAAAUUCUUUUAAAAUAUAAAUAUCUCAUCUAAAACAUAAAUGUGCAAUAAGAGGCAAGUUGAACAUUAAAUGCAACAUUAUAAUAUAAAUUUAUAUAACCAUUUCUUAUUUGUUGGUAGUACUACCAUGUUUUCUACUUAAUAAACAAUUAUUUACACAGUGCAUUCAUUUCAUUUGGGCUGUAACACAAGCUUGAAAGAUUUGGCUUGAAUUAAUUUAUGUAAUAUUACACUCGGCUGCUGCGUCGCCAUUUCCUCUUUCUUUAAUCUUGGCUGGACACGCUACUGCGUGUCUAGCCAAGUUUAAGUUUUAAUGACAGAACUCUCUUGAAAGAAUGACUAGCGUCCUUUUUAAAUAUUUCCGAUAUAAUAAUCUUAUAAAAAAUACUAUGAUAUUUUUUAAAACGUUUUGACUUCACCUGUACAGUGUUAAUGUUGUGGAAUAUUUACUUUGUAUCACUAACUAUAAAUUGAAGGCCUAUAUCUUAAGGAAAUCGGUAUAAUAACAAUUAAUCUUUACACCUACAGACCCUUUUGUUGGGCGAACUUUACCUAAGACCUUCACAAGAUCAUCGUGUUCCUGGUAUUAUCCAUUUACACCCCAAUUAAUCAUUUUAAUGUUCAUUCAAGGUAAUUGCUGAAAAUUUGCGUACCAAUUUACACAACACACUUCCUAUUACCUAAUAUAUACGUAUAUAUAUUUGUUUUCCAUUGGGAAUUGGGAGUAUUGGGAAAUUUCCGCGUACAUUUUUAACUCGGUGAAUUUGUAUUUUUUAUUUUAAGUUAUUUUAUUUAUAUAUCUAAUUAUUAUAAAAACAAUGCAAGUAUGUAAAUUUACCGAUUUCAUGAUACUAAUGACUGGUAAUUAUUUAAAUCUUAGAUAUAACAUAAAAGUAACAUUGACUUACAUUUUAUAUCUGACAAUUUUAAGUUUUAUAUAGGGCAACACACCCAAAAACUCUGCUUGUAGACACGUUUAUCUGUAAACCGUUUACGUGCUCCCAAUUAAAUAGAUAUAUAUUUACUCCAUACCAUAACGUUCUUUUAUUAAUUCUACAUCACCAGUGACUCCACCAACUAUCCGUACAACAACCAUAUUUUAUAACUCAAUUAGCAAUUUCAAUACUUCAAUUUAUAGUUUUUAAAUAUUAUUUUUAUUUUCAAUAAGUAUUAUUACAAAUCUGCCAUUAAGACACAACAUCACAAAACAAUAACAUAUACACUCGUAUAUAAAAAAUAAAAACAAAAUUAUUAAUUAAUAUUUUUUAAAGAGGUCUUCUGCAUAGUUCACAACUGUUUUUUUUUUUCCCAAGAAACAUGGAUAUGAAACUUUUUUACAUACUAAUAUGGGGCGUCCAACUGUCAAGUGAAUAUGGAAUGUUCUUUAAGAAAAUGUUCCGUUUUAUUAAUAAAAUACUCUUUUUAUUUCAUGCUGUAUACAAAUUAUUUAUUAUCACUGUAAAUGUUAAAUAAGUACAAAUGAGUUAAAAUGGUUCAAUUGUAACAUCCAUUGUACAGCGUAUCGCAGAUGCAAAUAAAUAUUUCCGCUUAUAUUUUGCGUAAUGAAUAAAUAUUAACAAUCAUUCCGGUCUGAACGAAACAUUCGACUAUACAUAGUAAUAUAGUUUAGGUUAAGACGUAAUUUAAUAAUAAAAAGACAAUACAAUUGUAUUACGAAAUAUUUCUCAUAUCAGUUUUAUAUCAAUUCGUUUUCCGAAAAACUAUUAGUAAUUUGUUAUUAGAUGAUUAAAUGUUAGAGUCUAUCUAUUUCGAAUUUUUUAUUAUAAAAUUAUUAUUGCGUCGUUCUAAAAACGUUUACACGGGCAAUUUAAUUGUAGAAUUGUCAUACUACAUACAAGAUAUCAUAAAUUUUUUUGCGAUAACGAUAUUUUGUAACUAAAGUUAGAUAUAGUAGUACAGUAUUUGAAUAAUUUAAUAUCUUUGACAGGAAGAUUCGUUUUUUGCUCCGUUAACUACUGCCAGGCUAUUAAUGCUCAAAAAUUGCCCGUGUAUACAUUCCUUUAUGUUUGUUAUUUAAAUAUCAAAUUAUAAUUAUAUUUUAUUACAAAAUUUAUGUAAUAGUGUUUAUUUAUUAAUUACAUACAUAGUACAAUUAUAAUUAUUAGAGCAGGCUUUUAUACACGAAAUCCAAUAGUAUGUAAUUAACCUAUUUUAAAUCCGAUAUAUUAUCAUGAUAUUUUAUAGUUAUUUUGUAAUUUAAUUAAAAGAAGCAUAAUGUAUUUGAGUAAAUUUUUAAUUAGUAUUUGUAAUUAUUCUUUCUUAUUAAUUCAAGGCAAAAUUAGAAGCUGUUUUAUUCAUGUUUUAAUCCAUCCAUCCAUUAAAUAUUAUACAAGACUGUCAAAAAGAUAUAAGUUUACCCUAAAACAGUUUCAGUUUAUGCAACGCACAUUCCUUUUACAAAAUUAACAUAAGCUGUUAUUUUUGUCUAAUUUAAAAGUAAGACAAUAUGGCUCAUGUUUUAGAUAUAUGUUUCAAUACCUAAUCUGAUAAAUGAUUUAAACUAACAUAUUAAGUACUCAAUAUGUUUUUUUUUUAAUCAGUCCUGAGUUUUUAAUUACGGUUAUACGUAAUAAAAGUUAUUAUAAUUUAUGCUACCUUUUAUCGGCAAGUACGUACACGUGACUGGGAUAUGUUGAAUGAUCGGGAUUAAAAGUAGCCUAUAUCUUCUUCUAUCUCAAAUGACCUAUAGGCCAAAUUACAUGGUGAUUGAUUUAACCAUUUAAUAGUAAAAUCAAAAAGCAAAAAAUAAACUCACCAAAACACAAAAUCAUAUAAAUACACUUAAAAAUUAUGAGUUAACAGGUAUCAUUCUUACUUUCUAAUGAUCAUUUUAGGGUCAAUCCCGCAUCGCAUAAUAAAUCAACCAAUUGGCAUGCCAGUAAGAGUAACCUAUUUAUUGAUCCACUCUGCUGGUCGAUGCUGUCAAUCGAGCUUGAAAUAAAAUUGAUGUAUUAAUAUUCCUUUGCAUAUUAUCAUCAUCAUCAUCAUCAUAUCAACCGUUAACUGUCCACUCCUGAAUUAGGCCUCUCCCAUUAGGGGUAUUUUGCCAGUAGUUGCCAUAUUUGGCAGGCAGGUUGGCAACCGCAGUUAGCUUUUGGUGAUAUUUUAAGAAGAGCACUGUUGCCCACCCUCGACCAGUAAGUUCAUCGUGUGCUAGCGGUUGAUGAGUCUUUAAAAAAUGGCGUUGCUACAAGUAUUAUAUGACUUUGUUAUAAUUUAAAAUAAAACAAGAGGAGUUAUUAAUAAUUACGCCCUUUUCUUGCGACAAUAGCCUUUUAACAUCUUGUUAGACAUUUCCGCUACGAGACGCAAAAUGUUUUAAUUUUGUUAAACAAAUAAUAUUUUUUUAAGUGAAGGAAACAUUUCUAAUUUUAUAUUUAUUUUAAUUAAUUUUAUUGACCAAUAAAAUAUGAUAUAAAAUGUGUAUUUAGGUUGCCGAGGUUUCCUCAAGAGACUACAACAUGGGGUUCAUCAAAAAUAGGGCCACGAGAGCGUAUAAAUAAAUAGUACAGUGUUAUAAAAAUGAAUGCUUGCUUUAUUUAUUUAAACUUCAAUGCAUAUUAUACAUUAAUAAUAUAUAUAUGGCGCACGUAAUUCCUAUCUAUAAUAAGAGACUACUAAGGAAACUAAAUGAUCAAAGGAUGGUAGCAGCGUUGUUCUUAAAACAUCACCAAAGCCUAACUGCGGUUGCCAAUCUGCUUGUCAAGAGUGAAAAAUACUGGGAACACUCCUCUUAUGGGAAGGCUUAUGCUCAACAGCGGACAAUAAACUACUGAUAUGAUGAUGACGAUAAUAAUAAUAAUAAUUAAUAUAAUUACAAUUUUGACUUCUUAUUUUACAAUAUUACGAUUGCUUGUUUUGAUUAAUGAGAGAAAAAAUAUUUUAUAUAUCAUUUAUAAAAUUAUAGUAAUAUUUUUUUUGUACAACUCAGAAUGGCAAACAAGCUGACGGCCCACUUGAUGGUAAGUGGUAACCGUCGCGUAUAAACAUGAGCAGUACCAUGGACAUAACAGAUUAUACUGUUUCGCCCAUGAUACUCCCCAUGCGUUGCCAUUCCUAAGAACUCAGAUGUUAUUCCUCUGUACCCUGUAAAUUCACGCCAAAUAAAUAUAUUACAUUAUUAACCUUUACAAUGCCUUCUUGACUACAUAACUGUUCCGAAUUGAUUAUACUGAUACUAAUAGUCUAAUAGUAAUUUACAAUUACCUACCACUUAUUAUUAUAAUUUACUAUAAAAAAAUUACUUAAGUAAAAUAAAUAUAACUUAUAAAAAUUCGUGUAAAGAUAAGACAAAGUCUAUCAAUUACUUCCAGGCAAAUAACAAUGUUAAUGAAGUGAUGAUAAGUGACAAGAGUAAAGGAGACAUUCUCAAUCUAAUAAACUUCAGGCUCUUUUAAACGUCAUUUUGUCGACACUUAAAGGAUCCAUUACUUUCGUCUGUUUUUUGUAAAAAGCAAAAGAAUUUUAUUGAUACCUAUUUAAAUUAACCUCGAUCUCAAAAAUAGGGUUGUCGAAAUUCCAUGUCACAUCGAAUGUUCAUGUAAAAGUUUUUUUUAACGAAUGAUAAUGGAUUAGUAACCCUACCUGCACUAUACAUAUACGUGUACGCUACGCUAGGGAGGUACUAGUGACUAAGUAGGUCAACAAGUCUAUCGUGACUAAUUCACCAAGAAUUAACUAUGAUGGUUUCCAGGAAAGAUUGUAUAAAGGUCGACCUGUUGCUAGCAAUGAAACCACUAAACUCAUUUACUAUAAACUCCUCCCCUAAUAUACAACUCAUUUUCCAAAAAAAAAUACCAAUUUUAGAAAUAAUAAUAUAGAUUUAGACAAUAAUAUAUACUACCUUUUAAGUAAAUAUCUUUUAUUUAGUAUUAGCCGUUAACUGUCCAAUACUGGGCAUAGGUCUUCCCCAUAAAGAGAGUUUUGCCAACAGUUGCCACACUUGACAGGCGGGUUGACAAUAAGUAUCUGCUGAAUAUUAAUUUGUAUUUUUAAUUACCGAUGUGAUAGGUACAACAAUGUAAUCCUGGUUUAGUAGGUAAUAUUAAAAAUUAUCUAAAAAACGUUCACAGUCUCGUAACUGUUUAUGCUGCACAUCUGUUGUUAAUUACAACCGACGUGACGUUAUAUUAUCUACUUGCAUUAAUCUAAGCGUUUCUAAAAAAAAUCCUUCAUAUUACCUACAGUUUACAAUGACAAUUCUUACUAAUAGCAUAAAUAUGCAAGUUAAUUUAUUUAUUGAUUAGUUACCUCUUAAUAUCUUCAUUAAAAGCAUACACCUACCCUCAUAUUCAUAAAACUAAAACAAACCUAUUUUACCUGUUACACUUUUUAAGCUAAAAUAAGUUUAUAAAAGCUUUGAUGUUCUCAUGAUUAAGGGAGCUAAUUUUUAUUACAGAUACAGGCUACUUUUUGUCCCACUUAUUAUUCUGUCAUAAUAAGAGUUCAAUAUU
This is a long non-coding RNA of Galleria mellonella (greater wax moth), 7714 nucleotides long. RefSeq lists it as uncharacterized. NCBI's taxonomy places the organism in Eukaryota, Metazoa, Arthropoda, Insecta, Lepidoptera, Pyralidae. The record is from RefSeq and is a predicted model, not a curated record. The transcript is spliced from 3 exons.